UUAACUGUCCUGAAGAAAAAGUCCUC
RNAcentral lists this non-coding RNA (26 nucleotides) under Cricetulus griseus (Chinese hamster). Lineage: Eukaryota; Metazoa; Chordata; Mammalia; Rodentia; Cricetidae. The record is from RNAcentral.